RNAcentral lists this ribosomal RNA (197 nucleotides) under uncultured Smithella sp. Its description in RNAcentral is "partial 16S ribosomal RNA". It matches the Rfam family "Bacterial small subunit ribosomal RNA", at positions 1189 to 1382 of the family's 1533-position model. Lineage: Bacteria; Pseudomonadati; Thermodesulfobacteriota; Syntrophia; Syntrophales; Smithellaceae. The record is from RNAcentral.
UCCGUCAUGGCCUUUAUGCCCAGGGCUACACCACGUGCUACAAUGGGUGGUACAAAGAGCAGCCAGCUCGCGAGAGUGAGCAAAUCUCAAAAAGCCAAUCCUCAGUUCGGAUUGAAGUCUGCAACUCGCCUGCAUGAAGUUGGAGUUGCUAGUAAACGCAGGUCAGCUAUACUGCGUUGAAUACGUUCCCGGGGUUU